RNAcentral lists this ribosomal RNA (650 nucleotides) under uncultured bacterium. RNAcentral's name for it is "bacterial SSU rRNA". It matches the Rfam family "Bacterial small subunit ribosomal RNA", at positions 54 to 691 of the family's 1533-position model. The record is from RNAcentral.
CAUGCAAGUCGAGGGGAAACGACAUCGAAAGCUUGCUUUUGAUGGGCGUCGACCGGCGCACGGGUGAGUAACGCGUAUCCAACCUGCCCACCACUUGGGGAUAACCUUGCGAAAGUAAGACUAAUACCCAAUGAUAUCUCUAGAAGACAUCUGAAAGAGAUUAAAGAUUUAUCGGUGAUGGAUGGGGAUGCGUCUGAUUAGCUUGUUGGCGGGGUAACGGCCCACCAAGGCUACGAUCAGUAGGGGUUCUGAGAGGAAGGUCCCCCACAUUGGAACUGAGACACGGUCCAAACUCCUACGGGAGGCAGCAGUGAGGAAUAUUGGUCAAUGGACGAGAGUCUGAACCAGCCAAGUAGCGUGCAGGAUGACGGCCCUAUGGGUUGUAAACUGCUUUUAUAAGGGAAUAAAGUGAGCCUCGUGAGGCUUUUUGCAUGUACCUUAUGAAUAAGGACCGGCUAAUUCCGUGCCAGCAGCCGCGGUAAUACGGAAGGUCCGGGCGUUAUCCGGAUUUAUUGGGUUUAAAGGGAGCGUAGGCCGGAGAUUAAGCGUGUUGUGAAAUGUAGAUGCUCAACAUCUGCACUGCAGCGCGAACUGGUUUCCUUGAGUACGCACAAAGUGGGCGGAAUUCGUGGUGUAGCGGUGAAAUGCUU